This 1425-nucleotide long non-coding RNA is filed under the name Vulpes vulpes (red fox). RNAcentral describes it as "lncRNA (ENSVVUG00000015301.1)". Lineage: Eukaryota; Metazoa; Chordata; Mammalia; Carnivora; Canidae. The record is from RNAcentral.
CUAAUUGCCACAAAUUUAUCUGUAAUGUUAUGGAAGCCCCAUGGCUUUUCUGACUCACAUUUCCCUCAUAUGUAAAGCAAGAGGAUGUACCAAGCUCUAAAAGAAACCACCUAAGCUGGAAUUCUUUGGCUCUGUCGACACAUGGAGAAGAAUGACAAGCAAAGCUAUUGUGCUCUUCAUUACAAAGUGCAUUUCACAUUACAUACUUUUGCCACCACUUCAACCACAGGCAUCCCUCUAUCCCCAUACUGAAAGUGGCCUCGGAGAUUUGGAAAAGAGCAAACUGAGUAAGUUAACUUAGAUAACUGAGUCAUGUUUGAAAUAGUUAAGGCUUUUGUUUAUUAACAUUUUAUUUAUAAAGCCUUCAUGGCUCCUUCUUCCACUCAGUCAAGGAAAUGAACCCAUUUCAUCCAGAAAUUCAAUCAGUUCAUCUACCCUUCAAAUCUAAAGUGCCAGUGAGUUUGAUUAACCUGGUUCCCGAGCUGGAAGAUCAGCCUGUUUGGCUUUGUUGCUGGCUGCCCCAGGAAGAAUAAUUUCACUGGAAAAAGGAUGAGCAAGGCCACCAAUCAUGAAGGCAAAAACAGAGCAAAGGCUGAAAAACUAGGAGAAGGAGAAUAUCAGUUUCUAAUGGACCAGCCCAGAAGUCACUUAAGAACAAGAAGGGGGUGCAGAGAUGGCAUGGGUUACUCCAACAAGGACUGGGAAAUGUGUGGCCUAUGCAUUCUAAAUUAUACAACAUCAUCUUUAAAGUGCACUUCUCACAAUCCCAGGGGUAAGGCAAACCUUAGGGAGACUGAGAUAGGGCUGGAGAAAAGCACUUUCUCCCUAAAGCACAUUCUACAAAAAUGGCACCCUUUAAACAAAUUUAAAGUAAUAUAAGAACAGGACAGUAGGGAAGAUGGUGGUAAAAAGUCAGUGAAGGAAGCAACGGGAAAUAUGCACAAGUGAAAUAUCAGAUGUGAAACCAUGAGAUGCUUUGAAGACAAAGUCACAGGAGAACAUCUAUUUUAUGCACUCACCAGUGUAGGUCCCACCUCCUCCACACAUGCUAAGUUUGUUUCAUCAGAUGACUGCACCUCUGAGGGGAGGUGGUCGUCAAUCCAGGAGAAUUGCCAGAGGUAACUUGCUUGGCAAUCAAUGUCCUUCAAAGGUUCAAAACUGUUUUUUCCUUUUUAUUGGUUUUUGAAACUUCACAUACUUGAAAUUAGGCUGUUUACUUAUCUGUCUGAAUACACAAAUAUACAAAGUUGUUUAACAAAUAUUUAUUUAACAACUACUUCAGGGUGUAAGAUUUAAAAAGCAUUUAUUGGUAACUGGGAUAGGGGAAAGGGACAAGGUUAUAAAAGAAAUAGAAACCUUGUUCUCUACCCUUAAGAGUUCAAAAUCUGGUUGGAGAGACAAAAAUAAACAAAAGUAAUUACAUCA